AUUGAACGCUGGCGGCAUGCUUUACACAUGCAAGUCGAACGGUAACAGGCCUUCGGGUGCUGACGAGUGGCGAACGGGUGAGUAAUGCAUCGGAACGUGCCCAGAGGUGGGGGAUAACGCAGCGAAAGCUGUGCUAAUACCGCAUGUGAUCUGAGGAUGAAAGCGGGGGACCAGGCAGCAAUGUUUGGCCUCGCGCCUUUGGAGCGGCCGAUGUCAGAUUAGGUAGUUGGUGGGGUAAAGGCCUACCAAGCCGACGAUCUGUAGCUGGUCUGAGAGGACGACCAGCCACACUGGGACUAAGACACGGCCCAGACUCCUACGGGAGGCAGCAGUGGGGAAUUUUGGACAAUGGGCGCAAGCCUGAUCCAGCAAUGCCGCGUGCGGGAAGAAGGCCUUCGGGUUGUAAACCGCUUUUGUACGGAACGAAAAGGCUCUGGCUAAUACCUGGGGCUGAUGACGGUACCGUAAGAAUAAGCACCGGCUAACUACGUG
Molecule: ribosomal RNA, 492 nt
Filed under: uncultured bacterium
Lineage: Bacteria
Description: partial 16S ribosomal RNA
Rfam family: Bacterial small subunit ribosomal RNA
Source: RNAcentral